Molecule: ribosomal RNA, 725 nt
Filed under: Actinomycetes bacterium
Lineage: Bacteria; Bacillati; Actinomycetota; Actinomycetes
Description: bacterial SSU rRNA
Rfam family: Bacterial small subunit ribosomal RNA
Source: RNAcentral
GGAUUAGUGGCGAACGGGUGAGUAACACGUGAGUAACCUGCCCUGGACUCUGGGAUAACCCCGAGAAAUCGGAGCUAAUACCGGAUAGGACCUUGGAUCGCAUGAUUUUUGGUGGAAAGUUUUUCGGUUUGGGAUGGACUCGCGGCCUAUCAGCUUGUUGGUGAGGUAAUGGCUCACCAAGGCGUCGACGGGUAGCCGGCCUGAGAGGGUGACCGGCCACACUGGGACUGAGACACGGCCCAGACUCCUACGGGAGGCAGCAGUGGGGAAUAUUGCACAAUGGGCGCAAGCCUGAUGCAGCAACGCCGCGUGCGGGAUGACGGCCUUCGGGUUGUAAACCGCUUUUGUCAGGGAAGAAGGGCUUCGGCUUGACGGUACCUGGAGAAAAAGGACCGGCUAACUACGUGCCAGCAGCCGCGGUAAUACGUAGGGUCCGAGCGUUGUCCGGAAUUAUUGGGCGUAAAGAGCUCGUAGGCGGUUUGUCGCGUCUGCCGUGAAAUCCUCAGGCUCAACCUGAGGUCUGCGGUGGGUACGGGCAGACUUGAGUGGUGUAGGGGAGACUGGAAUUCCUGGUGUAGCGGUGGAAUGCGCAGAUAUCAGGAGGAACACCGAUGGCGAAGGCAGGUCUCUGGGCACUUACUGACGCUGAGGAGCGAAAGCGUGGGGAGCGAACAGGAUUAGAUACCCUGGUAGUCCACGCCGUAAACGUUGGGCGCUAGAUGUGG